Molecule: long non-coding RNA, 756 nt
Filed under: Homo sapiens (human)
Lineage: Eukaryota; Metazoa; Chordata; Mammalia; Primates; Hominidae
Description: novel transcript
Source: RNAcentral
GGGGCGCCUGUGGGAGCCGUGGAGGGAACUUUCCCAGUCCCCGAGGCGGAUCCGGUGUUGCAUCCUUGGAGCGAGCUGAGAGCUCGAGAACCUGCUAAGGCCAUCAAACCUAUUGAUCGGAAGUCAGUCCAUCAGAUUUGCUCUGGGCCGGUGGUACCGAGUCUAAGCACUGCGGUGAAGGAGUUAGUAGAAAACAGUCUGGAUGCUGGUGCCACUAAUAUUGUGAUGUCACCAUUUCUACCUGCCAUGUAUCGGCGAAGGUUGGGACUCGACUGGUGUUUGAUCACUAUGGGAAAAUCAUCCAGAAAACCCCCUACCCCCACCCCAGAGGGAUGACAGUCAGUGUGAAGCAGUUAUUUUCUACGCUACCUGUGCACCAUAAAGAAUUUCAAAGGAAUAUUAAGAAGUGAGUGAGCGCUCAUGGGAUCUGGUUGUUUAGAAGCAUGCACCACCUCCCGCUUCACUCUCUCUGUCUCUCCUGCUCCACCAUGGCCAGAAACGUGCCUGCUUCCCCUUCGCCUUCUGCCGUGAUUGUCAGUUUCCUGAGGCCUCCCCAGCCAUGCUUCCUGUACAGCCUGCAGAACUGACUCCUAGAAGUACCCCACCCCACCCCUGCUCCUUGGAGGACAACGUGAUCACUGUAUUCAGCUCUGUCAAGAAUGGUCCAGGUUCUUCUAGAUGAUCUGCACAAAUGGCUCCUCUCCUCCUUCCUGAUGUCUGCCAUUAGCACUGGAAUAAAGUUCCUGCUGAAAAUCC